Molecule: ribosomal RNA, 323 nt
Filed under: bacterium enrichment culture clone FeOXA4
Lineage: Bacteria
Description: bacterial SSU rRNA
Rfam family: Bacterial small subunit ribosomal RNA
Source: RNAcentral
GCGGUCCUUUAAGUCUGAUGUGAAAGCCCACGGCUCAACCGUGGAGGGUCAUUGGAAACUGGGGGACUUGAGUGCAGAAGAGGAAAGCGGAAUUCCACGUGUAGCGGUGAAAUGCGUAGAGAUGUGGAGGAACACCAGUGGCGAAGGCGGCUUUCUGGUCUGUAACUGACGCUGAGGCGCGAAAGCGUGGGGAGCAAACAGGAUUAGAUACCCUGGUAGUCCACGCCGUAAACGAUGAGUGCUAAGUGUUAGAGGGUUUCCGCCCUUUAGUGCUGCAGCUAACGCAUUAAGCACUCCGCCUGGGGAGUACGGCCGCAAGGCUG